Long non-coding RNA from Oncorhynchus keta (chum salmon), 861 nucleotides. RefSeq lists it as uncharacterized. The record is from RefSeq and is a predicted model, not a curated record. The transcript has 4 exons. Lineage: Eukaryota; Metazoa; Chordata; Actinopteri; Salmoniformes; Salmonidae.
UCAACCAGUCCAUCUACAUGUUAUCAGGGUACGACCCUCAACCAGUCCAUCUACAUGUUAUCAGGGUACGACCCUCAACCAGUCCAUCUACAUGUUAUCAGGGUACGACCCUCAACCAGUCCAUCUACAUGUUAUCAGGGUACGACCCUCAGCCAGUCCAUCUACAUGUUAUCAGGGUACGACCCUCAACCAGUCCAUCUACAUGUUAUCAGGGUACGACCCUCAACCAGUCCAUCUACAUGUUAUCAGGGUACGACCCUCAACCAGUCCAUCUACAUGUUAUCAGGGUACGACCCUCAACCAGUCCAUCUACAUGUUAUCAGGGUACGACCCUCAACCAGUCCAUCUACAUGUUAUCAGGGUACGACCCUCAACCAGUCCAUCUACAUGUUAUCAGGGUACGACCCUCAACCAGUCCAUCUACAUGUUAUCAGGGUACGACCCUCAGCCAGUCCAUCUACAUGUUAUCAGGGUACGACCCUCAACCAGUCCAUCUACAUGUUAUCAGGGUACGACCCUCAGCCAGUCCAUCUACAUGUUAUCAGGGUACGACCCUCAACCAGUCCAUCUACAUGUUAUCAGGGUACGACCCUCAACCAGUCCAUCUACAUGUUAUCAGGGUACGACCCUCAACCAGUCCAUCUACAUGUUAUCAGGGUACGACCCUCAACCAGUCCAUCUACAUGUUAUCAGGGUACGACCCUCAGCCAGUCCAUCUACAUGUUAUCAGGGUACGACCCUCAACCAGUCCAUCUACAUGUUAUCAGGGUACGACCCUCAACCAGUCCAUCUACAUGUUAUCAGGGUACGACCCUCAACCAGUCCAUCUACAUGUUAUCAGGGUACGACCCUCAACCAGUC